This 86-nucleotide transfer RNA is filed under the name Erythrobacter sp. RNAcentral describes it as "tRNA-Leu". It matches the Rfam family "tRNA". From Rfam's summary of the family: Transfer RNA (tRNA) molecules are approximately 80 nucleotides in length. Their secondary structure includes four short double-helical elements and three loops (D, anti-codon, and T loops). Further hydrogen bonds mediate the characteristic L-shaped molecular structure. tRNAs have two regions of fundamental functional importance: the anti-codon, which is responsible for specific mRNA codon recognition, and the 3' end, to which the tRNAs corresponding amino acid is attached (by aminoacyl-tRNA synthetases). tRNAs cope with the degeneracy of the genetic code in two manners: having more than one tRNA (with a specific anti-codon) for a particular amino acid; and 'wobble' base-pairing, i.e. permitting non-standard base-pairing at the 3rd anti-codon position. RNAcentral also lists the same sequence under 1 other name. The record is from RNAcentral. Lineage: Bacteria; Pseudomonadati; Pseudomonadota; Alphaproteobacteria; Sphingomonadales; Erythrobacteraceae.
GCGGGUGUGGCGGAAUGGUAGACGCCGGGGACUUAAAAUCCCCUGAUCUUGCGAUCGUGUGGGUUCGAGUCCCACCACCCGCACCA